Molecule: ribosomal RNA, 499 nt
Filed under: uncultured Gordonia sp.
Lineage: Bacteria; Bacillati; Actinomycetota; Actinomycetes; Mycobacteriales; Gordoniaceae
Description: partial 16S ribosomal RNA
Rfam family: Bacterial small subunit ribosomal RNA
Source: RNAcentral
UCCUACGGGAGGCAGCAGUGGGGAAUAUUGCACAAUGGGCGCAAGCCUGAUGCAGCGACGCCGCGUGAGGGAUGACGGCCUUCGGGUUGUAAACCUCUUUCACCAGGGACGAAGCGCAAGUGACGGUACCUGGAGAAGAAGCACCGGCCAACUACGUGCCAGCAGCCGCGGUAAUACGUAGGGUGCGAGCGUUGUCCGGAAUUACUGGGCGUAAAGAGCUCGUAGGCGGUUUGUCGCGUCGUCUGUGAAAUUCUGCAACUCAAUUGUAGGCGUGCAGGCGAUACGGGCAGACUUGAGUACUACAGGGGAGACUGGAAUUCCUGGUGUAGCGGUGAAAUGCGCAGAUAUCAGGAGGAACACCGGUGGCGAUAAAAAAAACACAAAGGGCAAGGGACGCCGAGGAGCGAAAAAAAAGGGAGAGAACAGGAGGAGGGACCCCGGGAGGACACCCAGGGGAGGCCCCCCCCCCGGGGGGGGGGGGGGAAACCCCCCCUCAUGG